Molecule: ribosomal RNA, 431 nt
Filed under: uncultured bacterium
Lineage: Bacteria
Description: partial 16S ribosomal RNA
Rfam family: Bacterial small subunit ribosomal RNA
Source: RNAcentral
AGCGAACGCUGGCGGCAGGCUUAACACAUGCAAGUCGAGCGCCCCGCAAGGGGAGCGGCUGACGGGAGCGUAACACGUGGGAACAUACCUUUUGGUUCGGAACAACUCAGGGAAACUUCAGCUAAUACCGGAUAAGCCCUUACGGGGAAAGAUUUAUCGCCGAAAGAUUGGCCCGCGUCUGAUUAGCUAGUUGGUGAGGUAACGGCUCACCAAGGCGACGAUCAGUAGCUGGUCUGAGAGGAUGAUCAGCCUCACUGGGACUGAGACACGGCCCAGACUCCUACGGGAGGCAGCAGUGGGGAAUAUUGGACAAUGGGGGCAACCCUGAUCCAGCCAUGCCGCGUGAGUGAUGAAGGCCUUAGGGUUGUAAAGCUCUUUUGCCCGGGAAGAUAAUGACGGUACCGGGAGAAUAAGCCCCGGCUAACUUCGUG